Molecule: long non-coding RNA, 987 nt
Filed under: Junco hyemalis (dark-eyed junco)
Lineage: Eukaryota; Metazoa; Chordata; Aves; Passeriformes; Passerellidae
Description: lncRNA (ENSJHYG00000002487.1)
Source: RNAcentral
CCCCAGUGGUGUUUGGCGAGCACUCCCUCCUCGUCACCGUCUCGGGACAGAAACUCUUCGUGGUCAAGCGCCACCACCACGUGCAGGAGCCGGUGGCCGUGUGAGAAAUGUCCCCAGAGUGUCCCCAAAGUGUCCCCAAAGCGUCCCCAGAGGAGGAGGAGGUGGCAGCGCCGCCCUGUCCCCCCUCCUGCUGUCCCCAAAGUGUCCCCAAAUCCCCCCCGAGGGGACAAUAAAUGGCGUCCCAGGGUGGCUUUGGUGGCUUUGUGACCUCCUUGGGGACACCCGGGUGGCAUCAGGGGACAUCCAGGUGACAUCCAGGACACACCAGGGACAUCCAGGUGACACCAGGUGACAUCCAGGUCUCUUUAUUGGCAAUAAAUAACAGGGACAGAGGUGCCACCCUUGUCCCCAAUGUCCCCAACCCAGGGGUGGCACUGCAGGCCCCUCCCGUCCCCUCCCCCACUUUGGCUCGGGGACACUUCCCCGAUGUCCCCAAAUGUCCCCAAAAUCCCAAACGCGGGCACGGCUCCAGGCUGUGUCCUCAAGGUGUCCCCAAGGUCCCCUCCAUGGCACGUGGCAGUGGCAGUGACCCCCCCCCCAUUGUCCCCAAUGUCCCCAAAGUGUCCCCAAGGCUCUGGGGGUGGCUCUGUCCCCUUGGUCCCUGUCCCUGGCACAGUGGGGACACCGGGGGUGGCCUUGUCCCCAUUGUCCCCCUGUCCCCACUGUCCCAGAGCCAUUGCUGCCACUCUGGCAAUGUCCCCAAGGUCCCAACGUUGUCCCCAAGCUGUCCCCCACGAUGUCCCCAAGCUGUCCCCACACUGUCCCCUCCCUGUCCCCGCUGUCACUGCACGGGUGGCACCACGAGCACCUUGCACUCCCUCUUGGCGAUCUUGUCCAGGGCCAGCACGGCCUUGUCCCCCGCGGGCAGGUACAGGGGGCGGCCCACGGGGGAGCCCACGGGGGGCGUGAUGGCCCUGCGCUCCAUGA